RNAcentral lists this ribosomal RNA (446 nucleotides) under uncultured bacterium. Its description in RNAcentral is "partial 16S ribosomal RNA". It matches the Rfam family "Bacterial small subunit ribosomal RNA", at positions 338 to 795 of the family's 1533-position model. The record is from RNAcentral.
CCUACGGGUGGCAGCAGUCGAGAAUCAUUCACAAUGGGGGAAACCCUGAUGGUGCGACGCCGCGUGGGGGAAUGAAGGUCUUCGGAUUGUAAACCCCUGUCAUGUGGGAGCAAAUUAAAAAGAUAGUACCACAAGAGGAAGAGACGGCUAACUCUGUGCCAGCAGCCGCGGUAAUACAGAGGUCUCAAGCGUUGUUCGGAAUCACUGGGCGUAAAGCGUGCGUAGGCUGUUUCGUAAGGCGUGUGUGAAAGGCGCGGGCUCAACCCGCGGACGGCACAUGAUACUGCGAGACUAGAGUAAGGGAGGGGGAACCGGAAUGCUCGGUGUAGCAGUGAAAUGCGUAGAUAUCGAGAGGAACACUCGUGGCGAAGGCGGGUUCCUGGACAUUAACUGACGCUGAGGCACGAAGGCCAGGGGAGCGAAAGGGAUUAGAUACCCGUGUAGCC